GAUGGUCUACCAGACCAGAUUUUCCAGCAGAGCAAAUCCAGUCUCCUAAACCUCAUAUGUUUCACCUUUAUGAAAAUGACCCUGUGCUCUGUGCUCUUACUAUACUGUAUGUCAACAAUGAUCUCACUUGUGUCGGAAUUCCAGGAGAAACUUGACAAUCUGAUGCAUAAACUUAACGGAGAACAUGAUUAAAUCUCCCACAUGAGCAAUGAAAGAGUAACCUGUGAGCAAAUGAAAGAAGUGAAUGACUCUGAAGCUCUGAAUGUCUGUCUGGCUGUCUCUGAAUGUGAGUUUUUGUGUGUGUGUGUCUCUCUCUGUUUUUCUCUCUUAAGCGCAGGAGGAAUGUGUAAACAGGCAGAGGCAGAGGCAGCUACAUGACACACUCACAGGACGUUGCACAACUCGAAAUGCCUCUAAAUGUGUCAUUUCCUGCCUGGCCACCUGGCUUCCGCUGAGAAACAGCAGUAUGUACGUGAGAAAUAUACAUUGGGAUAGAUUGUGUGGGAUCGAAGGAGAGCAGAUUGACCUGAAACAUCAUUUGCUUAAAGAUAAAAGCUAUUAAAUUACAUAAAAGACCUCAGCAAACCUCAGAUGAAGCUACUGUGAUCUUUUUCUCUGUUAAGUGAAGGUUCUUUAUUGGCGUUAAUGGUUCCAUGAAGAAUCUUUAGCAUCCAUAGAAUCUUUCCAUUGCACAAAAAUUUCUUUAGAUUAUUAAAAAUAGGAUAUUUUAUGAAAUGUUUACCAAAAUUCUUUUGGAAUCCCCCUUUUGGAAACUAUAUCAAAAUGUAUCUUGUUCAUCUGAAUUUUUCCUGGUCUCAUUUGUGAUUCAUUGUUGCAUGUUAUUCCAAAGGAAAAUAGUUUGUAAUCUUGCUCUGUCUCUGAAAUGAUUUUCCUUUUCAGAUGAUGUCACUCUCAUUUCUCUCAUACAGGCUGGCCUUUUUUUAAGACCCCAUAGACUUCCAUUAUAUGGGAAAAAAACAACUAUAUCUUCUUUUGUGUUCCACAGCAGAAAGAAAGUCAUGCACAACACAAAGGAAAUAAUUGAUAAAAACGGAAGAUGAAUGAGCCGUGUGAGAUGAAAGGCCCUCACAUCAGAGAUGCCCGAGGGUGUUAUUAAUCCGUAAUGAAUGAAGAUCACAAGUGCAUCCAAAACGCUGCUGCCAGAUGUGUUAAUUGAGACGAGGAGGAAAAGAAGGAAGAAAUCAAGAAGCGAUAUUGUUGGUUUUGCCGCCAGAAGCUUAUCUCUGAAUACAACAGCUGUGUGCCAGGCAGGUUGGCAUGAGCUUCAUACAAACACACCAGAGCCGGAUCUACAGCAGCGCUCAUCAGACUCGGUGUCUCUGCGUAUGACCGCGUGAGAGGAAUCCAUCCAUAAGCCCCCAAAAGCACAUUCACAGACCCACCCGAGCCCAUCCCAGCGAGCUGAUACCAAACACACACGGCUGCGUGGUCCUGCCCAGCUUUAACCAACCCUGGCAUCUGCCAGCCAUCCAACGGUUGGUGUCCAGCAACUAAAAAUAUCCUAAAUGCUGGCUCAUUCAGAAGGGGUUUUCUUUUCAAAAUGAUUUCCUAAACCGGAAAAAGACAGACUACAUCUGAAAUGCAUAAAGUCCUGAUCAACAAAAAACAUCCCGCCCUGUCCUAACCGAACCAGCUUAUCCAAAUCCAUUCAUAAAUAAGGGCGCAAUACUUCUGAAAACACAACAGUGUUUCUUCGUAAAUCAAGAAAAUGCAGUUGCUUUCAGAAACUUGAGGCGGGUUAUUUUUUCUGCUGUUAUUUGUUUGAUUGUGGUCGAUUUUAUUCUAAUCUUCCACAUCGCGCCUCGUAUCGUUUUCCAUAUCUAAUUUCUUUAUGCCGUGCUAUCUCCUCCCUGACUUCCUCUUCCAGAUAGAAGAAACUUAAGCCUGUGAAGGUGUGGGUCUCCAUGCGGGCCAAGGCCCUGUUGACUGUGACAGCUGUGAGGAGAUAACACGGAUGUGCACACAUGCACACUGAUAGUGUUGAGGGUGUGUGAGGACAUGCAUUGGUGCAGGAAUGCACUGAGACCAGCCGACUGGUCAAGAAACCACCGCAUGCACGGCCAAUGUCCACUCGGACUGAUCACAGAUACAUUAUCAAAUGAAACCACAGACCUAAAGAGUUGUAAUCGACUGAUUUAUAAGGUGGAUUAUUGACAAAUUCAUGUCCACAAGGACGACUUAACAGUUUUUUUUCCCUCAUAUUUAUUCCAAAAUCUAUCAGCAGCCUUGUCAGUGGAUAGUAAAAAAUCUCUUUUUAUCAAAUAUUUUUCAUGCAUUUAGUUUACGAUCUGUACAUGUUGUUUAAAGCAGUGGUUAA
Carassius gibelio (silver crucian carp) is the source of this 2338-nucleotide long non-coding RNA. RefSeq lists it as uncharacterized. The transcript has 3 exons. Lineage: Eukaryota; Metazoa; Chordata; Actinopteri; Cypriniformes; Cyprinidae. The record is from RefSeq and is a predicted model, not a curated record.